GACGGAGGAUGCAAGCGUUAUCCGGAAUGAUUGGGCGUAAAGCGUCCGCAGGUGGCAGUUCAAGUCUGCUGUCAAAGACCGGGGCUUAACUUCGGAAAGGCAGUGGAAACUGAACAGCUAGAGUAUGGUAGGGGCAGAGGGAAUUCCUGGUGUAGCGGUGAAAUGCGCAGAUAUCAGGAGGAACACCGGUGGCGAAGGCGGAUCUCUGGGCCUUACCUGACGCUCAGGUGCGAAAGCUAGGGGAGCGAACAGG
Molecule: ribosomal RNA, 253 nt
Filed under: uncultured bacterium
Lineage: Bacteria
Description: partial 16S ribosomal RNA
Rfam family: Bacterial small subunit ribosomal RNA
Source: RNAcentral